CUGGAUAGGAUUAUGAUGAUGACAUUACCUAUCUACAUGUCUUGACCAAGUCACGUGCCAGCAGUCGCGGUAAUACGUGGUAGACUAGUGUUAUUCAUCUUUAAUUGGUUUAAAGGGUACUUAGACGGGAAAUUAAGCCCCCAACAGGGUACUAAUUUUCUAGAGUUUUAUGCGAGAGGGGGUGUAUUGAAGAGUGUAGAGAUGAAAUUUUUUAAUACCUUCUGGAACAGUCAACGGCGAAAGCAACCCUUUAUGUAAAAACUGACGUUGAAGGACGAAGGCUUGGUGCACCAACAGGAUUAGAGACCCUAGCAGUCCUAGCAGAAAAUUAUGAAUGUCAUAGAUUAGAUUAGAUUGUUAAUUAGAGUAUUCAAGUACUCUAAUUGUAAACAAUACCUCGCUAUUUUUAGCCAGAUAUUAAUUUUUGUCUAUAAAUGAAAGUGUAAGCAUUCCACCUCAAGAGUAAUGUGGCAACGCAGAAACUGAAAUCAUUAGACCGUUUCUGAAACCAGUAGUGAAGUAUGUUGUUUAAAUUGAUGAUCCACAAAAAACCUUACCACAAUUUGUAUAUUAUUUAUAAUACAAGAGUUGCACGGCUGUCUUCAGUUAAUGUCGUGAGAUUUUGGUUAAUUCCAUUAAUUAACGUAAACCCUUGCUUUAUUUUUUUUAUAAAGUAGUUCACCGCUAUAUUGGAUUAGAUAACAGGGAAUAAGACAAGUCAUCAUGACCUUAAUAUUGUGGGCUAU
RNAcentral lists this ribosomal RNA (746 nucleotides) under Baeomyces heteromorphus. RNAcentral describes it as "SSU rRNA". It matches the Rfam family "Bacterial small subunit ribosomal RNA", at positions 453 to 1217 of the family's 1533-position model. The record is from RNAcentral. Lineage: Eukaryota; Fungi; Ascomycota; Lecanoromycetes; Baeomycetales; Baeomycetaceae.